AUUGAACGCUGGCGGCAGGCCUAACACAUGCAAGUCGAGCGGAUGAAGGGAGCUUGCUCCUGGAUUCAGCGGCGGACGGGUGAGUAAUGCCUAAGAAUCUGCCUGGUAGUGGGGGAUAACGUCCGGAAACGGGCGCUAAUACCGCAUACGUCCUGAGGGAGAAAGUGGGGGAUCUUCGGACCUCACGCUAUCAGAUGAGCCUAGGUCGGAUUAGCUAGUUGGUGGGGUAAAGGCCUACCAAGGCGACGAUCCGUAACUGGUCUGAGAGGAUGAUCAGUCACACUGGAACUGAGACACGGUCCAGACUCCUACGGGAGGCAGCAGUGGGGAAUAUUGGACAAUGGGCGAAAGCCUGAUCCAGCCAUGCCGCGUGUGUGAAGAAGGUCCUCGGAUUGUAAAGCACUUUAAGUUGGGAGGAAGGGCAGUAAGUUAAUACCUUGCUGUUUUGACGUUACCAACAGAAUAAGCACCGGCUAACUUCGUG
This 484-nucleotide ribosomal RNA is filed under the name uncultured bacterium. RNAcentral's name for it is "partial 16S ribosomal RNA". It matches the Rfam family "Bacterial small subunit ribosomal RNA", at positions 30 to 507 of the family's 1533-position model. The record is from RNAcentral.